GGGAACAUAAGAAACAUCAGGGACAUGAAAGGAGUCAGAUAAGAGAGUACCAUGUCCUACAACAGGAAGAGAAGAACCAUCGGCUGUAUGAACAGUGGGAGAACCAGAUGGAGAACGUAUGGAAGAAAGACAGGUGCAAUAAGGAGUCAUAUGAAAUGAAGCACCAGAAUCAAGAAUCCAUGGGCAAAUACCUGGAGUAGACGUGGAAGGUGGUCCCAGAGUGGAAGACUGAGAAGCAGCAGCAAAACCUGGUAGGUGCAAAAGGCUGAGUCACAGAACCCGCAGCUCCUGGUGGCAUAGAGGAGACAAGGUGACUGAGCAACCUGAUGAUCUCCUAUGUCUCAGAACUAGCAGAACUCCUCUGAGGACCUCCAAAACCAGAACCACCAGUACCACUAGUACCCUGUGAAGAACGACCACCUCGGCGAGACUGAGCCUGACAAGACUGAGCCUUCUUCUUCCUGUAACA
Molecule: long non-coding RNA, 469 nt
Filed under: Setaria viridis
Lineage: Eukaryota; Viridiplantae; Streptophyta; Magnoliopsida; Poales; Poaceae
Description: long non-coding RNA (SVIR_LNC004437)
Source: RNAcentral